UCCCUGGAAGUCUAGUGGGUAAGUCUCUGCUCUUCCAAUGCAGAAACGUGGGUUCAAUCCCUGGUCAGGGAA
This 72-nucleotide transfer RNA is filed under the name Bos taurus (domestic cattle). It matches the Rfam family "tRNA". Rfam says of the family: Transfer RNA (tRNA) molecules are approximately 80 nucleotides in length. Their secondary structure includes four short double-helical elements and three loops (D, anti-codon, and T loops). The record is from Rfam by way of RNAcentral. Lineage: Eukaryota; Metazoa; Chordata; Mammalia; Artiodactyla; Bovidae. RNAcentral also lists the same sequence under 4 other names.